UACGUAGGGUCCGAGCGUUGUCCGGAAUUAUUGGGCGUAAAGAGCUCGUAGGUGGCCUGUCGCGUCGGCUGUGAAAACUCGGGGCUCAACUCCGAGCUUGCAGUCGAUACGGGCAGGCUAGAGUUCGGCAGGGGAGACUGGAAUUCCUGGUGUAGCGGUGAAAUGCGCAGAUAUCAGGAGGAACACCGGUGGCGAAGGCGGGUCUCUGGGCCGAUACUGACACUGAGGAGCGAAAGCGUGGGGAGCGAACAGGA
This 254-nucleotide ribosomal RNA is filed under the name uncultured bacterium. RNAcentral's name for it is "partial 16S ribosomal RNA". It matches the Rfam family "Bacterial small subunit ribosomal RNA", at positions 524 to 777 of the family's 1533-position model. The record is from RNAcentral.